This 252-nucleotide long non-coding RNA is filed under the name Manihot esculenta (cassava). RNAcentral describes it as "long non-coding RNA (MESC_LNC013067)". Lineage: Eukaryota; Viridiplantae; Streptophyta; Magnoliopsida; Malpighiales; Euphorbiaceae. The record is from RNAcentral.
UCCGCCGUUCCUCCCUCGAUCUUGAGUGUUUCCUCUAGAUCUUUCAUGGUUUUAACAAGUUUAUAACUUUGUUUUGAAGAUUUGUGGGUUUUGAGCAAGUUUUGAGUGCUUGGAGGUUCAAAGAGCUUAAUCUCUCCAUCUCCAAGCUAGGAUCGCUUUCCUCUCGUUUCUUCAAGAGGUAAGGGUCGAUCUUGAACCCUUUUUAUGUUUUAAACAAGUUUUAAGUAAGAUCUAUGGGUAGAAAUGCAUGUU